CAAUAGCGUAUAUUAAAGUUGUUGCAGUUAAAAAGCUCGUAGUUGAAUUUUUGCUUGCCGCCGAUGUCGGAACUUCCGUACGUUCGGCGGCGUGCAUCCUUGGGUGGAACCUGUGUGGCAUUAGGUUGUCGUGCAGGGGAUGCUCAUCGUUUACUGUGAAAAAAUUAGAGUGUUCAAAGCAGGCUUACGCCGUUGAAUAUAUUAGCAUGGAAUAAUAAGAUAGGACCUUGGUACUAUUUUGUUGGUUUGCGCACCGAGGUAAUGAUUAACAGGGACAGUUGGGGGUAUUCGUAUUCCAUUGUCAGAGGUGAAAUUCUUGGAUUUCUGGAAGACGAACUACUGUGAAAGCAUUUACCAAGGAUGUUUNCAUUAA
This 373-nucleotide ribosomal RNA is filed under the name uncultured eukaryote. RNAcentral's name for it is "partial 18S ribosomal RNA". It matches the Rfam family "Eukaryotic small subunit ribosomal RNA", at positions 592 to 976 of the family's 1831-position model. The record is from RNAcentral.